RNAcentral lists this ribosomal RNA (253 nucleotides) under uncultured bacterium. RNAcentral's name for it is "partial 16S ribosomal RNA". It matches the Rfam family "Bacterial small subunit ribosomal RNA", at positions 524 to 776 of the family's 1533-position model. The record is from RNAcentral.
GACGUAGGGGGCGAGCGUUGUCCGGAUUCAUUGGGCGUAAAGAGCGCGUAGGUGGCGCCGUAAGUGGGGUGUGAAAUCCCGGGGCUUAACCCCGGGACUGCAUUCCAUACUGCGGUGCUUGAGGACUGGAGAGGAGACUGGAAUUUACGGUGUAGCAGUGAAAUGCGUAGAGAUCGUAAGGAAGACCAGUGGCGAAGGCGGGUCUCUGGACAGUUCCUGACACUGAGGCACGAAGGCCAGGGGAGCAAACGGG